Paramuricea clavata is the source of this 217-nucleotide non-coding RNA. Lineage: Eukaryota; Metazoa; Cnidaria; Anthozoa; Malacalcyonacea; Plexauridae. The record is from the annotation of a GenBank genome assembly.
GACAAAUGAUGGUAAAUUUGCUUUGUAAAUGGUUAGUUUAUUUUGAAAAAUUGCUUUUCACAUUGUUUUAAUCAUUGCCUGCAUUGGCUCCAAAGACAAAAGUUGCUCAAAAGUCAAAACUUCAAAAGUUGCUCUAUCAAGGCCUAUUAAUUAAUGACUAGUUUUGGGCUAUCAGACCUAUAGCCUUCAUUUCAACGAGUCUGAUCACCAUGGGCGU